Molecule: ribosomal RNA, 377 nt
Filed under: uncultured bacterium
Lineage: Bacteria
Description: bacterial SSU rRNA
Rfam family: Bacterial small subunit ribosomal RNA
Source: RNAcentral
UAAUACGUAGGUGACAAGCGUUGUCCGGAUUUACUGGGCGUAAAGAGCGCGCAGGCGGUCGUUCAAGUCGAGUGUGAAAGCCCCCGGCUCAACUGGGGAGGGUCAUUCGAUACUGAUCGACUCGAAGGCAGGAGAGGGAAGUGGAAUUCCCGGUGUAGUGGUGAAAUGCGUAGAUAUCGGGAGGAACACCAGUGGCGAAGGCGACUUCCUGGCCUGUUCUUGACGCUGAGGCGCGAAAGCUAGGGGAGCAAACGGGAUUAGAUACCCCGGUAGUCCUAGCCGUAAACGAUGGACACUAGGUGUUGGCGGUAUCAACCCCGCCAGUGCCGAAGCUAACGCAUUAAGUGUCCCGCCUGGGGAGUACGGCCGCAAGGCUA